This is a long non-coding RNA of Gambusia affinis (western mosquitofish), 546 nucleotides long. RefSeq lists it as uncharacterized. NCBI's taxonomy places the organism in Eukaryota, Metazoa, Chordata, Actinopteri, Cyprinodontiformes, Poeciliidae. The record is from RefSeq and is a predicted model, not a curated record. The transcript is spliced from 4 exons.
GACUCCUUCUUCUUCUUCUUGAAAUGUAUUAGCGGUGUGAAGAAAAAACAACGACGACGACGACUCCCCCAAGCUCGGCCCGUGAAUGUUUUUUUUUCCUCCAGAUGUGAUGAACAGGUCUGGGGUAUGCUCCGUGGAACAGCCUGUCUCAAAAAGCAUUGCGGGCCAGACAUACUCCAUUGUGCAAGAAAGGAUCAAACACACAUCUCCAGUCUGGUGCCUUCUCAUAACCUCCCCUACUGUAAAACUCAAAUGAGUCGGAGCUGAAACGUGAUGAAAUAAACCCUGAUGUGUACAUUAAGUCUCUCGCUGCGCUGAGAGGAACUUGAUCCGGAUUAGCUGUGGAAGAAGUCAUUGCAGGCCACUGUGAGGGCGCCCAUCAGGAUGAUGAACUCUGUGAAGUCCACCUCGCCGUCGUUAUUGGCGUCCAGGAUUACAAAACUGCACAGGCUUGUCAGAACUUGCACAUGAGGGUAUAAAUGUGCAUACCUCUUCUUGUGUCACACAUGUUUGCAAAUGCGCUCUAUCUUUUUCUUCACAACCAUA